GGUGGGGCCAAGAGAGGACCCUGAAGACAGAGAUCCGGAUGUGCCACCUCUCUUGGUCCUGGACCCUGGACGCUGGAGUUAGACCAAGCAGAGUUCUCCGGAGAACACCGCCGGACUGCGUUACACCUUUCCCAGAUCCUGUUACCUAUCCCUUCACUUGAAACAAAAUGUUGGUUCUGCAGAGACUGAGCUACUGCCUGGAGUUUAGAUGUUGGACCCCAAGAGGGCAGAGCCAAGGAAGGAAAUGAACCAGCUCCACAUGUGGACAGCAAGGCAGAGCAAGGGGCACAGAUGGUCUGCUGGGGAGCCUCUCAGAAGGGCAUGAACAGUUUGUGGCAGCUGAUGCUGUGUUUCAGCAAUGAUCAAAAGAAACCAGUUGCAUGAAGGAAUGGGAAAGAAAAUCUCUAGGAGGAAAAAAUGG
Molecule: long non-coding RNA, 421 nt
Organism: Peromyscus eremicus (cactus mouse)
Lineage: Eukaryota; Metazoa; Chordata; Mammalia; Rodentia; Cricetidae
Exons: 3
Source: RefSeq, a predicted model, not a curated record